Molecule: ribosomal RNA, 862 nt
Filed under: uncultured bacterium
Lineage: Bacteria
Description: bacterial SSU rRNA
Rfam family: Bacterial small subunit ribosomal RNA
Source: RNAcentral
UACAGAGGUGGCAAGCGUUGUUCGGAAUUACUGGGCGUAAAGAGUCUGUAGGUGGUUUGUCAAGUCUUUGGUGAAAGCCCCGAGCUCAACUAGGGGAAGGCCAAAGAAACUGGCAAGCUGGAGGCUGGGAGAGGGAGGCGGAAUUUCUGGUGUAGCGGUGAAAUGCGUAGAUAUCAGAAGGAAGGCCGGUGGCGAAGGCGGCUUCCUGGAACAGUCCUGACACUGAGAGACGAAAGCGUGGGGAGCAAACAGGAUUAGAUACCUUGGUAGUCCACGCCCUAAACGAUGAGUACUAAAUGUGGAGGACUUAAACCCUCCGUGGCGCAACAUACGCAGAAAGUACCCCGCCUGGGGAGUACGGCCGCAAGGGUGAAACUCCAAGGAAUUGACGGGGGCCCGCACAAGCGGUGGUGCAUGGGGUUUAAUUUGACGCAACGCGAGGAGCCGAACCUAGGCUGGACAUGUCAUGAGUAGCGAUCCGCAAGGGGAGCGGACCGUCAAAUCGGGACUUCACACACAGGCUGCACGGCCGUUGUCACCUCGCGCCUUGAGGAGUUGGGUUCAGUUCCGCCACGAACGCCACCCUCGCCCUUUGUUGCCCUCGGGUAAAGCCGGGCACUCUAAGGGGACUGCCAGCGACAAGCCGGAGGAAGGAGAGGAUGACGUCAAGUCAUCAUGGCCUUUAUGCCCAGGGCCACACACGUGCAACAAUGGCCGGUACAGACGGAGGCCAAGCCGAGAGGCGGAGCAAACCCCAGAAAACCGGUCCCAGUUCGGAUUGCGGUCUGCAACUCGACCUCAUGAAGUCGGAAUCGCUAGUAAUCGCAGAUCAGCACGACGCGGUGAAUACGUUCCCGGGCCU